CUUCUGGGGUUCUUUGGCUGAGACUGGGCCAGUGAGCAGCUGAGACUGGAGAUGGGUGAGAGCUGGAACAUCUGCUGCUUCUUUUGGAAAGGGCAGGCUUCAGAAAAGGAAGUCAGAGAUACGAAGAAUGAGAGGGAUUUGAUGCACAGUCACUAGCUUGAAGAUUGGAGGGGCCAUAUGGCAGGUCUGCAGGUGUCCUCCAGGAGUUGAAAGUAUCCUCUUACUGACAGUGGCAUGGAAAUAGUGACCUCAGUCUUACAACCACGGGGAACUGAAUUUUGUCAACAACAAGAAUGGGUUUAUAAGCAGAUUUUUACCCAACCUCCCCGCCAAGACAAGAACUAAGCUCAGAUGACAACUUGAUUUCAACCUAUGAAACCCCAAGCAGAAAACUCAGCCACACUGUGUCAUUCUGACCUAGAGGACUAAGAACAAGUUCACCAUUCAAUUGAAGUAAUUUGUUACAUGGCAAGAGCAGACCAACAUGAAUACCAUCUAUGUGCUGAUGAC
This is a long non-coding RNA of Homo sapiens (human), 510 nucleotides long. The record is from Ensembl. Lineage: Eukaryota; Metazoa; Chordata; Mammalia; Primates; Hominidae.